GGGUUGUGAGGUUAAGCGACUAAGCGUACACGGUGGAUGCCCUGGCAGUCAGAGGCGAUGAAGGACGUGCUAAUCUGCGAUAAGCGUCGGUAAGGUGAUAUGAACCGUUAUAACCGGCGAUUUCCGAAUGGGGAAACCCAGUGUGUUUCGACACACUAUCAUUAACUGAAUCCAUAGGUUAAUGAGGCGAACCGGGGGAACUGAAACAUCUAAGUACCCCGAGGAAAAGAAAUCAACCGAGAUUCCCCCAGUAGCGGCGAGCGAACGGGGAGCAGCCCAGAGCCUGAAUCAGUGUGUGUGUUAGUGGAAGCGUCUGGAAAGGCGCGCGAUACAGGGUGACAGCCCCGUACACAAAAAUGCACAUGCUGUGAGCUCGAUGAGUAGGGCGGGACACGUGGUAUCCUGUCUGAAUAUGGGGGGACCAUCCUCCAAGGCUAAAUACUCCUGACUGACCGAUAGUGAACCAGUACCGUGAGGGAAAGGCGAAAAGAACCCCGGCGAGGGGAGUGAAAAAGAACCUGAAACCGUGUACGUACAAGCAGUGGGAGCCUCUUUUAUGGGGUGACUGCGUACCUUUUGUAUAAUGGGUCAGCGACUUAUAUUCUGUAGCAAGGUUAACCGAAUAGGGGAGCCGAAGGGAAACCGAGUCUUAACUGGGCGUUAAGUUGCAGGGUAUAGACCCGAAACCCGGUGAUCUAGCCAUGGGCAGGUUGAAGGUUGGGUAACACUAACUGGAGGACCGAACCGACUAAUGUUGAAAAAUUAGCGGAUGACUUGUGGCUGGGGGUGAAAGGCCAAUCAAACCGGGAGAUAGCUGGUUCUCCCCGAAAGCUAUUUAGGUAGCGCCUCGUGAAUUCAUCUCCGGGGGUAGAGCACUGUUUCGGCAAGGGGGUCAUCCCGACUUACCAACCCGAUGCAAACUGCGAAUACCGGAGAAUGUUAUCACGGGAGACACACGGCGGGUGCUAACGUCCGUCGUGAAGAGGGAAACAACCCAGACCGCCAGCUAAGGUCCCAAAGUCAUGGUUAAGUGGGAAACGAUGUGGGAAGGCCCAGACAGCCAGGAUGUUGGCUUAGAAGCAGCCAUCAUUUAAAGAAAGCGUAAUAGCUCACUGGUCGAGUCGGCCUGCGCGGAAGAUGUAACGGGGCUAAACCAUGCACCGAAGCUGCGGCAGCGACACUAUGUGUUGUUGGGUAGGGGAGCGUUCUGUAAGCCUGUGAAGGUGUACUGUGAGGUAUGCUGGAGGUAUCAGAAGUGCGAAUGCUGACAUAAGUAACGAUAAAGCGGGUGAAAAGCCCGCUCGCCGGAAGACCAAGGGUUCCUGUCCAACGUUAAUCGGGGCAGGGUGAGUCGACCCCUAAGGCGAGGCCGAAAGGCGUAGUCGAUGGGAAACAGGUUAAUAUUCCUGUACUUGGUGUUACUGCGAAGGGGGGACGGAGAAGGCUAUGUUGGCCGGGCGACGGUUGUCCCGGUUUAAGCGUGUAGGCUGGUUUUCCAGGCAAAUCCGGAAAAUCAAGGCUGAGGCGUGAUGACGAGGCACUACGGUGCUGAAGCAACAAAUGCCCUGCUUCCAGGAAAAGCCUCUAAGCAUCAGGUAACAUCAAAUCGUACCCCAAACCGACACAGGUGGUCAGGUAGAGAAUACCAAGGCGCUUGAGAGAACUCGGGUGAAGGAACUAGGCAAAAUGGUGCCGUAACUUCGGGAGAAGGCACGCUGAUAUGUAGGUGAAGUCCCUCGCGGAUGGAGCUGAAAUCAGUCGAAGAUACCAGCUGGCUGCAACUGUUUAUUAAAAACACAGCACUGUGCAAACACGAAAGUGGACGUAUACGGUGUGACGCCUGCCCGGUGCCGGAAGGUUAAUUGAUGGGGUCAGCGCAAGCGAAGCUCUUGAUCGAAGCCCCGGUAAACGGCGGCCGUAACUAUAACGGUCCUAAGGUAGCGAAAUUCCUUGUCGGGUAAGUUCCGACCUGCACGAAUGGCGUAAUGAUGGCCAGGCUGUCUCCACCCGAGACUCAGUGAAAUUGAACUCGCUGUGAAGAUGCAGUGUACCCGCGGCAAGACGGAAAGACCCCGUGAACCUUUACUAUAGCUUGACACUGAACAUUGAGCCUUGAUGUGUAGGAUAGGUGGGAGGCUUUGAAGUGUGGACGCCAGUCUGCAUGGAGCCGACCUUGAAAUACCACCCUUUAAUGUUUGAUGUUCUAACGUGGACCCGUGAUCCGGGUUGCGGACAGUGUCUGGUGGGUAGUUUGACUGGGGCGGUCUCCUCCUAAAGAGUAACGGAGGAGCACGAAGGUUGGCUAAUCCUGGUCGGACAUCAGGAGGUUAGUGCAAUGGCAUAAGCCAGCUUGACUGCGAGCGUGACGGCGCGAGCAGGUGCGAAAGCAGGUCAUAGUGAUCCGGUGGUUCUGAAUGGAAGGGCCAUCGCUCAACGGAUAAAAGGUACUCCGGGGAUAACAGGCUGAUACCGCCCAAGAGUUCAUAUCGACGGCGGUGUUUGGCACCUCGAUGUCGGCUCAUCACAUCCUGGGGCUGAAGUAGGUCCCAAGGGUAUGGCUGUUCGCCAUUUAAAGUGGUACGCGAGCUGGGUUUAGAACGUCGUGAGACAGUUCGGUCCCUAUCUGCCGUGGGCGCUGGAGAACUGAGGGGGGCUGCUCCUAGUACGAGAGGACCGGAGUGGACGCAUCACUGGUGUUCGGGUUGUCAUGCCAAUGGCACUGCCCGGUAGCUAAAUGCGGAAGAGAUAAGUGCUGAAAGCAUCUAAGCACGAAACUUGCCCCGAGAUGAGUUCUCCCUGACUCCUUGAGAGUCCUGAAGGAACGUUGAAGACGACGACGUUGAUAGGCCGGGUGUGUAAGCGCAGCGAUGCGUUGAGCUAACCGGUACUAAUGAACCGUGAGGCUUAACCUUACAACGCCGAAGGUGUUU
Molecule: ribosomal RNA, 2930 nt
Filed under: Escherichia coli
Lineage: Bacteria; Pseudomonadati; Pseudomonadota; Gammaproteobacteria; Enterobacterales; Enterobacteriaceae
Description: bacterial LSU rRNA
Rfam family: Bacterial large subunit ribosomal RNA
Source: RNAcentral